UCCUAACUUUAGACACUAUC
Molecule: small nuclear RNA, 20 nt
Filed under: Arabidopsis thaliana (thale cress)
Lineage: Eukaryota; Viridiplantae; Streptophyta; Magnoliopsida; Brassicales; Brassicaceae
Description: snRNA_19070
Source: RNAcentral